CAACUUCAGCUUCAUUCUUGGAAAACAGUCACACCUCCUUCCUGGGUUUGUUUUGAGACUCGCACAAGGUCAUCAUCGAUCAAGCUGACAUGAUGCCUGGAAUCAGUCGACACAGAGUCAGGGCAGGCCUGGGACCCUGCUCCGAGUAGGAGGGAAGAGCCGGCUGGUGGGGGCAGGAGGAGGCAGGCAUCGAGUCUAAGGAAGCUGAGAAAUCAGGAGGUUUUAACCUCGCUUUCAUCCUGGUCUAUUCUGAUGUCGGUUUCAGCCAUGGCUGAUAAAUGACCAGCUUGUGUCAAAGUCACCUGACAUGGGAGCUCAGAUGACCAGCAUCCAAAUCUCAGUGACCCAGGACUGGAGAUGGGGGUCAGGAAGAGUCAACUCAAUGGAGCUGUAAGACACAUGGUCCUCACUAAGUCAGGCAGCGUGGGUCCUUCUCCAGAACCUGCUCUGGAUGGGCAAAGGGCCCAUCUCCUCCAGGCAGAUCUGGAGAAAAAUCACAGUCCAUUAAAUCUGCAUCUCUUGAAAGAAAAACCCAGAAGGCCACCUCCCCAUCAAAGGCAAAAUGAACAGAGUUGGGAAGUGUGUUUAAAAU
RNAcentral lists this long non-coding RNA (592 nucleotides) under Capra hircus (goat). Its description in RNAcentral is "lncRNA (ENSCHIG00000001003.1)". Lineage: Eukaryota; Metazoa; Chordata; Mammalia; Artiodactyla; Bovidae. The record is from RNAcentral.